CCUACGGGAGGCAGCAGUGAGGAAUAUUGGUCAAUGGGCGGAAGCCUGAACCAGCCAAGUCGCGUGAGGGAAUAAGGCCCUACGGGUCGUAAACCUCUUUUGCCGGGGAGCAAGGGCCGGGACGAGUCCCGGUCCGGAGAGUACCCGGAGAAAAAGCAUCGGCUAACUCCGUGCCAGCAGCCGCGGUAAUACGGAGGAUGCGAGCGUUAUCCGGAUUUAUUGGGUUUAAAGGGAGCGUAGAUGGGUUGUUAAGUCAGCUGUGAACGUUUGCGGCUCAACCGUAAAAUUGCAAUUGAUACUGGCGG
This 305-nucleotide ribosomal RNA is filed under the name uncultured bacterium. RNAcentral describes it as "bacterial SSU rRNA". It matches the Rfam family "Bacterial small subunit ribosomal RNA", at positions 338 to 639 of the family's 1533-position model. The record is from RNAcentral.